This 587-nucleotide ribosomal RNA is filed under the name Lodderomyces parapsilosis. Its description in RNAcentral is "Candida parapsilosis partial large subunit ribosomal RNA". It matches the Rfam family "Eukaryotic large subunit ribosomal RNA", at positions 69 to 664 of the family's 3401-position model. The record is from RNAcentral. Lineage: Eukaryota; Fungi; Ascomycota; Pichiomycetes; Serinales; Debaryomycetaceae.
CCUGGUAUGCCUUAGUAGCGGCGAGUGAAGCGGCAAAAGCUCAAAUUUGAAAUCUGGCACUUUCAGUGUCCGAGUUGUAAUUUGAAGAAGGUAUCUUUGGGUCUGGCUCUUGUCUAUGUUUCUUGGAACAGAACGUCACAGAGGGUGAGAAUCCCGUGCGAUGAGAUGUCCCAGACCUAUGUAAAGUUCCUUCGAAGAGUCGAGUUGUUUGGGAAUGCAGCUCUAAGUGGGUGGUAAAUUCCAUCUAAAGCUAAAUAUUGGCGAGAGACCGAUAGCGAACAAGUACAGUGAUGGAAAGAUGAAAAGAACUUUGAAAAGAGAGUGAAAAAGUACGUGAAAUUGUUGAAAGGGAAGGGCUUGAGAUCAGACUUGGUAUUUUGUAUGUUACUCUCUCGGGGGUGGCCUCUACAGUUUACCGGGCCAGCAUCAGUUUGAGCGGUAGGAUAAGUGCAAAGAAAUGUGGCACUGCUUCGGUAGUGUGUUAUAGUCUUUGUCGAUACUGCCAGCUUAGACUGAGGACUGCGGCUUCGGCCUAGGAUGUUGGCAUAAUGAUCUUAAGUCGCCCGUCUUGAAACACGGGAMCACAA